This 293-nucleotide ribosomal RNA is filed under the name uncultured bacterium. RNAcentral's name for it is "partial 16S ribosomal RNA". It matches the Rfam family "Bacterial small subunit ribosomal RNA", at positions 505 to 796 of the family's 1533-position model. The record is from RNAcentral.
GUGUCAGCCGCCGCGGUAAUACGUAGGGGGCGAGCGUUGUCCGGAUUCAUUGGGCGUAAAGAGCUCGUAGGCGGCUCGGUAAGUCGUUUGUGAAAUCUCCAGGCUCAACUUGGAGCGUGCAGACGAUACUGCUGUGGCUUGAGUCCGGUAGGGGACCACGGAAUUCCUGGUGUAGCGGUGAAAUGCGCAGAUAUCAGGAGGAACACCGGUGGCGAAGGCGGUGGUCUGGGCCGGUACUGACGCUGAGGAGCGAAAGCGUGGGGAGCGAACAGGAUUAGAAACCCGGGUAGUCC